RNAcentral lists this ribosomal RNA (795 nucleotides) under uncultured bacterium. RNAcentral's name for it is "bacterial SSU rRNA". It matches the Rfam family "Bacterial small subunit ribosomal RNA", at positions 8 to 796 of the family's 1533-position model. The record is from RNAcentral.
AGAGUUUGAUCCUGGCUCAGGACGAACGCUGGCGGCGUGCUUAACACAUGCAAGUCUAGGGGAAAGUUUUCUUCGGAGARCGAGUACACUGGCGCACGGGUGAGGAAUAUGUAAGUAAUCUACCCAUGGGACGGGGAUAACGUCGAGAAAUCGGCGCUAAUACCCGAUAAUGCAGCGGCAUCGCAUGAUGAUGUUGUUAAAGCCAUUUAUGGCACCUAUGGAUGAGCUUGCAUCUGAUUAGCUAGUUGGUAGAGUAAAAGCCUACCAAGGCAACGAUCAGUAGCUGGUCUGAGAGGAUGAUCAGCCACACUGGAACUGAGAUACGGUCCAGACUCCUACGGGAGGCAGCAGUGAGGAAUAUUGGGCAAUGGGCGCAAGCCUGACCCAGCAACGCCGCGUGGAGGAUGAAUGCCGUAAGGUUGUAAACUCCUUUUUUGAGGGACGAAAAAAUAGGUUUGUAGCCUAUAUUGACUGUACCUUUAGAAUAAGCCCCGGCUAACUACGUGCCAGCAGCCGCGGUAAUACGUAGGGGGCAAGCGUUGUCCGGAUUCACUGGGUGUAAAGGGCGCGUAGGCGGGCUUGCAAGUCAGAGGUGAAAUCUCCCGGCUUAACCGGGAAACUGCCUUUGAUACUGCAAGUCUUGAGUGCGGAAGAGAGAGACGGAAUUCCAGGUGUAGUGGUGAAAUACGUAGAUAUCUGGAAGAACACCAGUGGCGAAGGCGGUCUCUUGGUCCGUUACUGACGCUGAGGCGCGAAAGCGUGGGGAGCAAACAGGAUUAGAUACCCUGGUAGUCC